UAUUUAUAUGUGAGUGUGUAAAAGAAGAGUAAUAAAUAAUGUAGGAAAUAAAAUUCAGUCAAAUGAACUGUUCUUGCUUCAACGAGUUUACAUAAAUGGAAUUCUGCAGUAAUAUUAUCUUGAUUAUGUCCUGCUUCAGCACUGAAACUGAAAAACACAUCAAAAUGACAAAUUACAUAAUUAUUAAAAAUUAUUGCUAGAAUAUUAGUAGAGAUUAUUAUUUACGGAUUACAUACAUAUAUACAGGUGCAUUUAGAAAAAUUAAUAUUGACAUUAUAAUUAAUAUUAUUCAGAUAGGAAUAUAUAGAAUUAUAUAUACGUCACACUACUUUAAUUAUAAUUAUUUAUGUAUAAUACAUAUAUUUGUUGUAAGUAUAAUUGGUGAGAGAAUUGUGAGGUAGAACUCGUCAAAAAGCAAUUAUUUAUAAAUAAUUCCUACACAUUCGUAAAUCCUAAGAUAUUUUUAUAAAUUCGUUUACCAUAUGUAACAAGUGGAAAAAUUCAGAACAAAUGAUUGUGACAGUUAAAUAUAUUUGAAAAUUAAGGCGUUAUGAAUAAUUCAUGGCAUAAAAACA
This 575-nucleotide unclassified non-coding RNA is filed under the name Bombus terrestris (buff-tailed bumblebee). Its description in RNAcentral is "misc RNA ENSBTSG00005020280.1". The record is from RNAcentral. Lineage: Eukaryota; Metazoa; Arthropoda; Insecta; Hymenoptera; Apidae.